This 207-nucleotide unclassified non-coding RNA is filed under the name Hevea brasiliensis (rubber tree). The record is from RNAcentral. Lineage: Eukaryota; Viridiplantae; Streptophyta; Magnoliopsida; Malpighiales; Euphorbiaceae.
AGAAUCAAUUUUAUAUCAACAAGUGGCGAGGACUCCCUGACGUGUUCGUGGUUGUCACCUUGAGCAGUAGCACCAACAGUCCAGCGCUGAUCAGCAGAGGAAUCAGGCUGCUGAUGAACCAGCUUAACCACAGGAUCCCGUUAUUCAAUCCCAUGAUCCUCAUGGUCUCCUUCAGCCUUGCCUCCUUCUCAUACACCACGCUCUUCA